CCUUCUACGCCCCUCCCAAUCUCCACUUCCCCCGCAACCUCAUCUCUGCCGACGACGCUGGCUCCCUCGCCAUUUUUGACGCAAACGGCUUUGUCCAUCUUACCACGCUCUCCGGCCACUGCAACGGUGGUAUCAACGACCUCGCCUCUACAACUGUCCGGUGAGCGCGACCGAUAAAAUUGAAGAUGUUUGUUCAGGCUUUGAAGGAUGCUUGAAUAGAGGAGUUCUCUUUGUCAGCUUAGCGAGGAAGCAAGUGGGAGCAAUGAUUCUUG
Molecule: small RNA, 272 nt
Filed under: Vigna angularis var. angularis
Lineage: Eukaryota; Viridiplantae; Streptophyta; Magnoliopsida; Fabales; Fabaceae
Description: Non-protein coding transcript
Source: RNAcentral